UACAGAGGGUGCGAGCGUUGUCCGGAAUUAUUGGGCGUAAAGAGCUCGUAGGCGGUCUGUCGCGUCGGUCGUGAAAACUUGGGGCUUAACCCUGAGCUUGCGGUCGAUACGGGCAUGACUGGAGUUCGGCAGGGGAGACUGGAAUUCCUGGUGUAGCGGUGAAAUGCGCAGAUAUCAGGAGGAACACCGGUGGCGAAGGCGGGUCUCUGGGCCGAUACUGACGCUGAGGAGCGAAGGCGUGGGGAGCGAACAGG
Molecule: ribosomal RNA, 254 nt
Filed under: uncultured bacterium
Lineage: Bacteria
Description: partial 16S ribosomal RNA
Rfam family: Bacterial small subunit ribosomal RNA
Source: RNAcentral